GGUAAGCUGGAGAUGACAGCACUUUUUAAAGCACAGCAAUACCUAAGUAUGACAAAUACUAUAGAAGUGCUAAUGCUGUUUGGCAAUUUCCUGGAAGGUCUGUGGAGUGGAAAUUCAGUUCAUUAACUGAUGCUGAUACCUCCAGAAGUCAUUUCAAAUUGUUUUCUUGAAAUAAGACUUGAACCCAGAUGGCAGAGGUGAACCCGCUUCGCUAGCCUCCAACAAGAGAUGUUACAGCGACUGUUUAUCCAGUAUCUUUGGCAGACUGAAACAGUGAGCGUUGGCAAAAAGCAGAUAUUUAACAGCUACUGACGAACAGCUUAUGAAUCACCAGACUUGAAUCCUGGCACACAUCUCCCUAUGUAAAAUGACUUUGCAAAAGAACUUUACCUAUCCAAUUAUACAGAUGGGAAAACUGAGGCAUAAGUGAUAGGAGAUGUCAUCGUCAGAGCCAUAAGCUGGUCCAAGUCUGCUCUGCUGGUCCAUGUAUCUUCCAGAGGAUGAAUUCAUAAUGCUUGGCUUAUUGUUUUACAUGUUCCUGCCAGGCAAGCUGGACUAUCCUAGGACAUGAAAGGCUGUACGUUCAUUGGCCUGGAUCUCUUAUUGUGUGCUUACUCGUGUAGUGCUUUCGUGUAGUGCUUUCUUUUGGGCCUGCUCUGGCUGAAGCAAAGGAAGUUCACUGGAACUUGAGAACAAGGACUACUUGCCCAAACAAGAGUUUUCAAGCCCUUGGUUUCUAAACACUUGCUUUAUAAGGUGGACUGUGUAUCAUAAAUCUAUGGCAUAGGAGUAUGGUCAUAUUGGCUUAACUGUCUUGCUAAGACUGGACUUAUUUCUCACACAACUGAUAAAAGUCAUAACGCUGUCAGUCGCUGGUAUACUAGCUGUACUCAACUUUUACUGCUUCCUAGUUCCAUGAUCCAUAGUGCACAUAUGGAGUAUAAAGCCUUCUUAAAAUCAUAGCCCCUUAACUAAAAGCUUUUUCUGAGAGACAGUGUGGUUUGAAUUAUAUUGAGGACCACAAAUAGCAAUUGCUCUUGGGCCACUGCCUUUGAAAUAGAUCUAUUUUAGGUGGAUAUUCCUCUUUUGAAGGGGUACUUCUACCCCUAUUUAUGAGCCUCACUGCUUGUACCAAAUAACC
Dromaius novaehollandiae (emu) is the source of this 1141-nucleotide long non-coding RNA. RefSeq lists it as uncharacterized. Lineage: Eukaryota; Metazoa; Chordata; Aves; Casuariiformes; Dromaiidae. The record is from RefSeq and is a predicted model, not a curated record. The transcript is spliced from 3 exons.